GUGAGUCAUCGAAUCUUUGAACGCAUAUUGCGCUCUUUGGUAUUCCGAAGAGCAUGCUUGUUUGAGUAUCAGUAAACACCUCAACACUCACUCUCGAUUUGUUUCGAAAUGAGUAUUGGACUUGAGCAAACCCAACGCCUUUCUGCUAGCCAGACUUGCGGCGGGUUGCUUGAAAUGCAGGUGCAGCUGAGUUUUCUUCUGAGCUAAUAGCAUACUUAAUUAGUCCCGUAAAAAGGAUUAUUAAUCUGCUGAAGCUUACACCAAAGGAAGAGCUCUUGACUGACUGAUGCAGAAUUACAC
Molecule: unclassified non-coding RNA, 300 nt
Filed under: uncultured Mortierella
Lineage: Eukaryota; Fungi; Mortierellomycota; Mortierellomycetes; Mortierellales; Mortierellaceae
Description: sequence contains 5.8S rRNA gene, ITS2
Rfam family: 5.8S ribosomal RNA (bases 1-71)
Source: RNAcentral